This is a long non-coding RNA of Daphnia pulex (common water flea), 964 nucleotides long. RefSeq lists it as uncharacterized. NCBI's taxonomy places the organism in Eukaryota, Metazoa, Arthropoda, Branchiopoda, Diplostraca, Daphniidae. The transcript has 2 exons. The record is from RefSeq and is a predicted model, not a curated record.
CGCAACUGGUGCGAUGGCGGCGGUUGCGUUCACCCGUGAUGCGUAGAAAAAUUUGGCGUGAAUGGCGGUUUUUUUUUUAAACCGAGUGGUAUUGCAUCUGGACAUCGUCCUAGCUAUAGCUUAAUUUCUAGAAAUUACCAACCAUUCGACUUGUGUACGACUUAUUGGUUGGAUCAGUAUAUGAUCACGGUGAACGUUUGUCAUUGCCACAUUAUUAUUAUUUUUUAAACGAAAAGAGAAACUUUUUUAAUUGGAUCAAUCGCCUAGUGACCUAAAUACCUCUGGAUACGGAUACAUUUUGUCGAUCUCCAUUCGAUAAACGGGAAAAAUGACACCAUUUGAGUUCAGAUUAAUGUGAACUACGAUCGACUACGACGGUUUGGGACAGGAGGUCCCAGAAAUGUGAGGUACUAAAAUAAGCAUUUCGAGAAGGCCACUCACGCGAUGGCUGGAUCAUAUCCGCCCAGCGGCCCGUUCUUUUUUUAAAAAUCGUAUAUUCACGCGUAUUUGAAUUAUUUUAAAUUUCAAAAAUGGACUUGGACUUCUAUUCGAUGGAAUGGAAGCGUGUUGUAUACUACUUUCCCUGUUACUGGGCAGUCAUUCCACAUUUAGUUCAAGUUGACCCUCUAAAUAAUAUUUGGUUUUUUCUUUUUCUUAGAAGACGUGUGUAUUUUUAAGGAGAUUAUGUUAAAUAUUCUUUUGGUGCUGAAUAAUACAAGAGGCUGCUGCUGACUACAUAGUGAAAGAGAGAGAGCCCAAGGCAGCAGCAACCACUGCGUUAGCGCCAAGCCAAAUAUGGACAGAUUAGUGUUAUAAACAGUUUCUGAUUUUGCCACAAGGAGUCACUAAGUGGAGGCCCUCCUCCAGAAAAGAAAAAAGAGCAUUCAACAAUUUGAAACUGAAUAUUGUGUAAAACGUUCCGGUUCGCCUUGAGUGAACUGCUUGCCUUAGGAAAGAAAGAAAA